This 21-nucleotide small RNA is filed under the name Arabidopsis thaliana (thale cress). RNAcentral describes it as "ATSL219830". The record is from RNAcentral. Lineage: Eukaryota; Viridiplantae; Streptophyta; Magnoliopsida; Brassicales; Brassicaceae.
AAAAGAAGAAGAAAAACUAAA